GCAGGGACUCUGCUCACCUUUGCCUCCCAUUGUGUGACACCUAGUGAGUUUUCAAUAAAUAUUUGUUAAGUGUCUGACUUUCAGUGAUUAGAAUACUAGAAAGAUCUUAGAUUCAAUACCAUUUCCAAUGAGAAUUUUCCUGUCUUUAAUUGACUUCCCCAGCUGAGACUAGUGUAAAACCCAGAUUCUCCUGUGCUGCAUACCUGCCAGGAUUUGAGCAGUCCAAAUGCCCAUGGGAGAGACACCGGUAGGAACUGUCAGACUAGCCGCUGGGGAGGACUCCCACGCCCACCGUAAGCUUCGAUUUAGAGAAUAGGCUGUAGCCAAAAGCACGCCCAGGAGGGCAGCAGAACAGAAACUGCAGCCACGUGGGUGGGUUUAGAUCUGAAAGGGCAAUGACUGCCCAGCGUUUGGGGAGGAAAAGUAGGUCAGUCCAGCGUCAUCCCCAGGCCCUAAAGGGGAAGGAAGAGUUGUGAGAUCUUUACUGUCACCCCUGUGGGUAAAUGUGGUCAUGCUCAACUUUAUGAGAACUACCUGCCCCAUUCUCCACUUCCCUUGUUCAUAAAACUCUCUCAAAAUCAGAAAAGAUCAGUCUGGGCUGUUCAGCCUUUUGUUUUUGGAUAGACUUUUCCCAAGCACAGCUUUUAAAGAAAGAAUCCAUAUUUAGCACCAUUUAAGACAACAGGUAGCACCCAGAAUCCAGAUGGCUGCCCAACC
RNAcentral lists this long non-coding RNA (717 nucleotides) under Marmota monax (woodchuck). The record is from RNAcentral. Lineage: Eukaryota; Metazoa; Chordata; Mammalia; Rodentia; Sciuridae.